AUCUACUGCCAUACAACCCUGAAUGCUCCUGAUCUCAUCUGAUCUUGUGAAGCUAAUCAGGGUCGGGCCUGGUUAGCACUUGAGUGGGAGACCUCCUGGGAAUAUCAGGUGCUGUGGGCU
Colobus angolensis palliatus is the source of this 120-nucleotide ribosomal RNA. NCBI's taxonomy places the organism in Eukaryota, Metazoa, Chordata, Mammalia, Primates, Cercopithecidae. The record is from Ensembl.